UGGGGAAUAUUGCGCAAUGGGCGAAAGCCUGACGCAGCAACGCCGCGUGAGUGAUGAAGGCCUUCGGGUCGUAAAGCUCUUUUGUCAGGGAAGAAACGGUAGUAGCGAAUAACUACUACUAAUGACGGUACCUGAAGAAUAAGCACCGGCUAACUACGUGCCAGCAGCCGCGGUAAUACGUAGGGUGCAAGCGUUAAUCGGAAUUACUGGGCGUAAAGGGCGCGUAGGCGGCAUGACAAGUCACUUGUGAAAUCUCUGGGCUUAACCCAGAACGGCCAAGUGAUACUGUCGCGCUAGAGUGCAGAAGGGGCAAUCGGAAUUCUUGGUGUAGCGGUGAAAUGCGUAGAUAUCAAGAGGAACACCUGAGGUGAAGACGGUUGCUGGGCUGACACUGACGCUGAGGCGCGAAAGCCAGGGGAGCAAACGGGAUUAGAUACCCAGGUAGUCCCUGAGCGGGCUGGCAAGGCGCAU
This 471-nucleotide ribosomal RNA is filed under the name uncultured bacterium. RNAcentral's name for it is "bacterial SSU rRNA". It matches the Rfam family "Bacterial small subunit ribosomal RNA", at positions 355 to 825 of the family's 1533-position model. The record is from RNAcentral.